AUGGAGGUGACGGGGUGGUGGCACCCACGGUGACCGUUUUCAUCAGCAGCUCCCUCAACACCUUCCGCUCAGAGAAGCGGUACAGCCGCAGCCUCACCAUCGCUGAGUUCAAGUGUAAACUGGAGUUGCUGGUGGGCAGCCCUGCUUCCUGCAUGGAAAUGGAGCUGCAUGGAGUUGACGACAAGUUCUACAGCAAGCUGGAUCAAGAGGAUGCGCUGCUGGGCUCCUACCCUGAUUAGAUGACGGCUGCCGCAUCCACCUCAUUGACCACAGGGGCGCCUGCCUUGGUGAGUAUGAGGACCUGUCCCGGGUGGAGAAGUACAUGAUCUCACAAGAAGCCUGCAACCAGAGGCAAGACAUGGUCCGCUUCAGUCCGCUUCUUCCUGAAGCGCAGCAAGCUUGGCCGCUACAACGAGGAGGAGGGGGCUCAGCAGGAGAGGCCGAGGCCGCCCAGCGCCUCGCCAAGGAGAAGGCCGAGGCCAGCUCCAUUCCCGUGGGCAGCCGCUGUGAGGUGCGGGUGGUGGGGCACUCCCCUCGCUGGGGUACCGUCAUGUAUGUGGGUCUCACAGAUUUCAAGCCUGGUUACUGGAUUGGUGUCCGCUAUGAUGAGCCACUGGGAAAAAACGAUGGCAGUGUGAAUGGGAAAUGCUACUUCGAAUGCCAGGCCAAGUAUGGCGCCUUUGUCAAGCCAGCAGUCGUGACCGUGGGGGACUUCCCAGAGGAGGACUACGGGUUGGACGAGAUAUGACACCCAAGGAAUUCCACUGCUCCAGCUCCUAACCCGGCCACUGACUGCCCCUCCUGUGUGUGCCCAUGGCCCUUUUCUCCUGACCCCAUUUUAAUUUUAUUCAUUUUUUCCUCUGCCAUUGAUUUUUGACACUCGUGCAUUAAAUUCACUAGAAACCC
Piliocolobus tephrosceles (Ugandan red Colobus) is the source of this 906-nucleotide RNA transcript. It is a transcript of the gene named tubulin-folding cofactor B-like, with no coding region annotated. The transcript has a single exon. The record is from RefSeq and is a predicted model, not a curated record. Lineage: Eukaryota; Metazoa; Chordata; Mammalia; Primates; Cercopithecidae.